GAUGAACGCUGGCGGCGUGCCUAAUACAUGCAAGUCGAGCGAACAGACGAGGAGCUUGCUCCUUCAACGUUAGCGGCGGACGGGUGAGUAACACGUAGGUAACCUACCUAUAAGACUGGGAUAACUUCGGGAAACCGGAGCUAAUACCGGAUAAUAUUUCGAACCGCAUGGUUCGAUAGUGAAAGAUGGCUUUGCUAUCACUUAUAGAUGGACCUGCGCCGUAUUAGCUAGUUGGUAAGGUAACGGCUUACCAAGGCAACGAUACGUAGCCGACCUGAGAGGGUGAUCGGCCACACUGGAACUGAGACACGGUCCAGACUCCUACGGGAGGCAGCAGUAGGGAAUCUUCCGCAAUGGGCGAAAGCCUGACGGAGCAACGCCGCGUGAGUGAUGAAGGUCUUCGGAUCGUAAAACUCUGUUAUUAGGGAAGAACAAACGUGUAAGUAACUGUGCACGUCUUGACGGUACCUAAUCAGAAAGCCACGGCUAACUACGUG
RNAcentral lists this ribosomal RNA (497 nucleotides) under uncultured bacterium. RNAcentral describes it as "partial 16S ribosomal RNA". It matches the Rfam family "Bacterial small subunit ribosomal RNA", at positions 28 to 507 of the family's 1533-position model. The record is from RNAcentral.